CUACUUUUGUGGCUAGGCUUUUAAAUUCCGGAGUUUGAGGGUCUUUCAGUGCUGGAACAAACACCUCUAUAAUGACAAUCUGUAUGGCAACAGUUGGCUGAGGACGUGCUGGUGCUGCUGUUGUGGUUGCUGCUGUUGUUAUUGUGGUUGUUGUUGCUGUUGUUUUAGGAUUGGCAGUAGAUGUUGUUGUUGUUGUUGUUGUUUUUGUUGUUGUUGUUGUUGUUGUUGUGGUUGUGGGUGUUGUUGUUACAGUUGUAUUAGGUUUGGCAGUAGAUGUUGUGGUUGUUGUUGUGGUUGCUGUUGGUGCUGUUGUAUUAGGAUUGACAGUAGAUGUUGUGGUUGCUGUUGAUGCUGUUGUAUUAGGCUUGGCAGUAGAUGUUGUGGUUGCUGUUGUUGAUGAUACUGUUGUAUUAGGAUUGGCAGUAGAUGCUGUGGUUGUUGUUGUUGCUGUUGUAAUAGGAUUGACAAUAGAUGUUGUGGUUGUUGUUGAUGCUGUUGUAUUAGGAUUGGCAGUAGAUGUUGUGGUUGUUGGUGAUGCUGUUGUAUUAGGAUUGACAGUAGAUGUUGUGGUUGCUGUUGAUGCUGUUGUAUUAAGAUUGGCAGUAGAUGUUGUGGUUGCUGGUGAUGCUGUUGUAUUAGGAUUGACAAUAGAUGUUGUGGUUGUUGUUGUUGCUGUUGCUGUUGUUGUAAUAGGAUUGGCAGUAGAUGUUGUGGUUGCUGUUGAUGCUGUUGUAUUAGGAUUGACAGUAGAUGUUGUGGUUGUUGUUGCUAUUGUAAUAGGAUUGACAGUAGAUGUUGUGGUUGCUGUUGAUGCUGUUGUAUUAGGAUUGACAGUAGAUGUUGUGGUUGCUGUUGAUGCUGUUGUAUUCGGAUUGACAUUAGAUGUUGUGGUGGUGGUUGUUGUUGUUGUUGAUGCUGUUGUAUUAGGAUUGACAGUAGAUGUUGUGGUUGCUGGUGAUGCUGUUGUAUUAGGAUUGGCAGUAGAUGUUGUGGUUGUUGUUGUUGCUGCUGCUGUUGUUGUGUUAGGUGUGGUUGUAGUUGUAAUUGUAGUGGAACUGGUUGUAGUGGCUUUGGUAGUUGUGGUGAAGGGCUUCCAUACUGUUGUGUGGGUUUGGUUAUUUUGUAGAAUAUGAAAAAUAAAAAUAAAAGUUGAGAAAAAUACCUUCAGCAAGAUGCAGCAGUGCAACCGCUUUAGUUAAAUAAAAACACAGAACACAUUGUAAAAUCUUUUGUAUUAUAUACUGAUGAUGUUCUUUGUUUGACUUACUUGUUACACUGGUGAUACUGAGAGUGGCAUUAGCUUUCAUAAUAGUGUUUUCUAUCUCAACAUCACUGGGUAAGGUUCCAAAUGUCACAUUCAUA
Long non-coding RNA from Cyprinus carpio carpio, 1362 nucleotides. Lineage: Eukaryota; Metazoa; Chordata; Actinopteri; Cypriniformes; Cyprinidae. The record is from Ensembl.